This 490-nucleotide ribosomal RNA is filed under the name uncultured bacterium. Its description in RNAcentral is "partial 16S ribosomal RNA". It matches the Rfam family "Bacterial small subunit ribosomal RNA", at positions 30 to 507 of the family's 1533-position model. The record is from RNAcentral.
AUUGAACGCUGGCGGCAGGCCUAACACAUGCAAGUCGAACGGUAACAGGAAGCAGCUUGCUGCUUCGCUGACGAGUGGCGGACGGGUGAGAAAUGUCUGGGAAGCUGCCUGAUGGCAGGGGAUAACUACUGGAAACGGUACCUAAUACCGCAUAAUGUCGCAAGACCAAAGAGCGGGACCUACAGGCCUCUUGCCUUUCGCUGUGCCCAGGUGGCAUUCUCCUGUUGGUGGGGUAACGGCUCACCAAGUCGCCGAUCCCUAGCCGGUCUGAGAGGAUGACCAGCCACACUGGAACUGAGACACGGUCCAGACUCCUACGGGAGGCAGCAGUGGGGAAUAUUGCACAAUGGGCGCAAGCCUGAUGCAGCCAUGCCGCGUGUAUGAAGAAGGCCUUCGGGUUGUAAAGUACUUUUAGCGGGGAGGAAGGGAGUAAAGUUAAUACCUGUGCUCAUUGACGGUACCCGCAGAAGAAGCACCGGCUAACUCCGUG